GGCGAGUGAAGAGGGAAAAGCCCAAAUUUGUAAUCUGGCUCUUUUAUGAGGGUCCGAGUUGUAAUUUUGAGAACUGUUUUCUGUGCUGGACCAUUUCUAAGUCUGUUGGAAAAUAGCAUCAUAGAGGGUGAUAAUCCCGUAUGUGAUAUGGACUACCAGGGCUAUAUGAUACAGUUUCUAAGAGUCGAGUUGUUUGGGAAUGCAGCUCAAAGUGGGUGGUAAAUUCCAUCUAAGGCUAAAUAUAGGUGAGAGACCGAUAGCAUACAAGUACCGUGAGGGAAAGAUGAAAAGAACUUUGGAAAGAGAGUUAACAGUACGUGAAAUUGUUGUAAGGGAAACACUUAAACUUAUCGUUGUGCUUGUCAGUUCAGCCCUCUUAUCAGGGUGUAUUCUGACAAAACACGGACCAACAUCAGUUUUUGAGUGCUGGAUAAGGGUCUUGGGAAUGUAGCAGUCUAGGCUGUGUUAUAGCCCAGGAUUUAGAUACAGUGCUUAGGACUGAGAGAUAUUUGCAGCAAGC
Molecule: ribosomal RNA, 520 nt
Filed under: Phragmidium mucronatum
Lineage: Eukaryota; Fungi; Basidiomycota; Pucciniomycetes; Pucciniales; Phragmidiaceae
Description: eukaryotic LSU rRNA
Rfam family: Eukaryotic large subunit ribosomal RNA
Source: RNAcentral